RNAcentral lists this ribosomal RNA (468 nucleotides) under uncultured bacterium. Its description in RNAcentral is "partial 16S ribosomal RNA". It matches the Rfam family "Bacterial small subunit ribosomal RNA", at positions 28 to 507 of the family's 1533-position model. The record is from RNAcentral.
GACGAACGCUGGCGGCGUGCUUAACACAUGCAAGUCGAACGGAAAGGCCCUGCUUUUGUGGGGUGCUCGAGUGGCGAACGGGUGAGUAACACGUGAGUAACCUUCCCUUGACUUUGGGAUAACUUCAGGAAACUUGGGCUCAUACCGGAUAGGAGCUCCUGCUGCAUGGUGGGGGUUGGAAAGUUUCGGCGGUUGGGGAUGGACUCGCGGCUUAUCAGCUUGUUGGUGGGGUAGUGGCUUACCAAGGCUUUGACGGGUAGCCGGCCUGAGAGGGUGACCGGCCACAUUGGGACUGAGGUACGGCGCAGACGCCUACGGGAGGCAGCAGUGGGGAAUAUUGCACAAUGGGGGGAAGCCUGAUGCAGCAACGCCGCGUGCGGGAUGACGGCCUUCGGGGUGUAAACCGCUUUCGCCUGUGACGAAGCGUGAGUGACGGUAAUGGGUAAAGAAGCACCGGCUAACUACGUG